CUGAUAUACUGAAAGUAUGGAUGAUAUAAAUCAAAGUGCAGAAAUACUAAUACAAUUCUGAAACAUUUUUGUAGCCAACAUAGCUUAACAUGAAAAGCCUGAGACUUUGUCUAACUAUUACUCUAGUCUAUGAAGCCUCUAAUGAAGUACUGAAAAUACUGACUAUCUGUAAAUACUGAAAGACUAUAAAGUAAUGAUAAAGCCCCGAAAGAACUGGGGAUCACCAAAUAGCUGGUACGAGAAUCCUAGCACUCUGAAUUAUCAACCUGUAAAUCAUUACCUGCAUCGUGAGAUGCAGGCCCCGGGCAAAAGGGAUGUUAGUACAUUUGAAUUGCACUGGUAUGUAAAGCAACUGAAAGAAAGAAUUAUAAAUGCUAAAACUGAAACUAAGCUGAUAACUGAGAAUUGAUAAUUAAACUAAUAACUGAUAACUGAACUGAACAAAGGAAGUUAGGAUAUGAAUACUCCCUCUUCUGAAUAAUGAACAACCUGUUUAUCUGAAUAAAUAAACUGCGGCCUCAGGCCCAAUAUAUAUAUGUGCACAACUGCGACCUCGGGCCCAAGUAUACGUAUACAUAACUGCAGCCUCAGGCCCAAAGAUGCAUAAAGCAUAAACUGCAGCCUCAGGACCAAAUACAGGUGUAAUUUAAAAUUAGGAACUGAGAAUCAUACUACAAUACAUGAUACUGAAAUGCUGAAUCACACUGAGUUAUAUAAUACUGGAAUACUAAAUAGGACUAGACUGAGACAUGUAUUCUUGAAUUGAUUAUGAACAUUGAAACUUCAACUGUUUAGACAUGCUGAGUAAGCUAUACUGACACUUAGGGACAUUAAACGCAAGUCUAUAAUGAAUACGAAAUGAGCUCACAAAGUUCAGACUGAAGGUCAUGAACGAGUUAUGAAACUAGAGAAUAGAAAUUGUACAACUAUUCAAGGAACUAGGCUUAACCAUAUUUCUGAGGCAAUUGAUAACGUGGUAAAAGAAGCAUAGUGUAGGUAGAAUCAUUAACAUUCCCAAACAUAAAGAGUUAGCCUCACAUACUUUAAAUUCCUAUCCUUGAGCGUAAUACAAUGUUUCUCAACCCUUUCAACUUUAAUCUAUAGCAAUGAUACUCAUAUUUUGGUCACUUAAGCAUUUUAUCAAACACUCGAUGAGAAAGCUUCAUAGUCCUUAUUAAUAGUGUUUCUACACUCAAUAACCCAUUCUCUUGCUUCUAGAUAAAUUCUAAAGUCUCAAAUGGUUAUAAUCAACAUCAUUCUUUAUCACCCAUAAGGUAACCAACACCCUUAACCAAUAAUCAACAAUCAACACCCCAAACCUCUAACCGUUCAUGCUUUUCUGUCAAACCCAUUAACUUAUAUCUCAUGAACCAGAGUCUAUAAUCAUUAAUCCAAUGCUAUAAUCAAUUAGAGGGUAAAGAUAUUACCUUCUUGACGUUCAAUCUUCUUGAAUUCGAGUUCUAGGGUUUCUUCUCUCAACAAUGAUGUCCCAAUCGAAUAUCUAAUGAUAUGGAGGGUUAACCCAUGUUAAUAAGAUAUUGAAAAAUUGAAAUUAACUUAGAAUCACCAUUAGAACUUACCUUGGGUAGUGGAGGGACCAUUGAUAAGUUAAGUUUUUGAGAGCUCCCCUCUUUAGAGCAAGGUUUUUGUAUUUUGGGGGUGUGGGGGACGAAGUAGGGCUUUAAAAUGACCCCCCAUAAGUGCCCCCGCGCACCUGUAGGCCUAACCGCGCACCUGACUAUGUAAAAUGGCAGUAACGCUGCCUUAGGAGUGCGGCCGCACUCAGGGCGCGCAUAUCGCACAUUGUUCUGUAAAAUGCGCAUAACCUUUUGCACAAAGAUCCGUUUGGGAUCCAAAAUGGUUUGAAAGCUAUUUCAAAGGCCUACAAUUUCUUGUUUUACAUUUUCCCAAUACCUUACAAGUUUUUCACUAAACCUCCUGCAAGACUGACCCUCUGCAAACUUCAUAGAUUUUAUCGAAUCUUGUACACCCCACUCUUCGUCUUGAUUGUAAAACAACAAUUUUCACCCAUACUCAUCCCGCUAGGACUUCAUAUGUCUAAAAUAUCAGAUUAAUACUCAUUUAACAUAUUCACACCUAGCUAGUCCAACUGUACGGGGUGUUACAAGCACUCUAACGGUGUUCAUUUUUCUUCCAAAACUUUGAGAUUUUUGUGAGGCCAAGAGUUUAUAGAUAUGAGAUUGUUUGUGGAAGAGGUGUGAUUUAGCUAUUAUCAACAAGUCGCUUAAUAUAACUUAUCACCCUAUCUUUUGGGAUUAACGACAGCUGUAGUCCAAAACUCAUUCUUUUGACAAUAAAACUGCAACCCAUUAGACUUAAAUCAUGAUAGGAUCCAGAGCUUCUCUAUCUUAAAAUUAGAGGCCCAAUACUAAACUUCAUAUGUCCCAUUACCCUUUAAAUCCUGCAGACUAAACAAAAGAAGCAAUGCAAACAAUAAAGCUUAUUUUGCAACUGCAAACAUAAAUCAUUUACCUUCAAACUAUUUUAUUUAAUAACAAAAUCUAACA
Molecule: long non-coding RNA, 2528 nt
Filed under: Nicotiana tabacum (common tobacco)
Lineage: Eukaryota; Viridiplantae; Streptophyta; Magnoliopsida; Solanales; Solanaceae
Description: long non-coding RNA (NTAB_LNC013295)
Source: RNAcentral